Myotis lucifugus (little brown bat) is the source of this 508-nucleotide long non-coding RNA. RefSeq lists it as uncharacterized. NCBI's taxonomy places the organism in Eukaryota, Metazoa, Chordata, Mammalia, Chiroptera, Vespertilionidae. The record is from RefSeq and is a predicted model, not a curated record. The transcript is spliced from 2 exons.
CGUGCGGGGCUGGGGAACCCCGCAGGCCGGGCGAGGGGACUCUUCACGUGGAGGGCGGGGCCCCGCAGGCUGAGGGAGGGGCCCCGAAGACCGAGGGAGGAGGCUGAGGAGACCUUGCAGACCGAGGGGAGAAGUUCCUCAAACCCCGUGCAGACCGAGGGAAGGGACCGUGGGGAGGCCGGAGGCUGCGUUCAGGGGGAGGAUCUGAAGGCAGAGAGAUUUUGUGGGCCAUACAAUGUCGAUGAGAGAGAAUCAUUGAUGGACUACCUCCUGAACACCCCCUAUUGGUGAUGGAGCGCAACCCAGGCAUGUGCCCUGACCUGGAAUUGAACCAUGACCUCCUGGUUCAUAGGUCAAUGUUCAACCAUGGAGCCACACCGGCCAGGAUGGUUCACAUUUUGAUAAGCUCUUUUUUACUUCUCUUGCUAUUACUGUGUUUUCAAUACUGAAAAACAGAAAAGAUUAAUAAAACAUUAAAGAAUGAAAUAUGAAGUAUUACACAACAUAA